This 281-nucleotide ribosomal RNA is filed under the name uncultured Bacteroides sp. RNAcentral's name for it is "partial 16S ribosomal RNA". It matches the Rfam family "Bacterial small subunit ribosomal RNA", at positions 65 to 339 of the family's 1533-position model. The record is from RNAcentral. Lineage: Bacteria; Pseudomonadati; Bacteroidota; Bacteroidia; Bacteroidales; Bacteroidaceae.
AGGGGCAGCAUGAACUUAGCUUGCUGAGUUUGAUGGCGACCGGCGCACGGGUGAGUAACACGUAUCCAACUUUGCCGAUGACUCGGGGAUAGCCUUUCGAAAGAAAGAUUAAUACCCGAUGGCAUAGUUCUUCCGCAUGGUAGAACUAUUAAAGAAUUUCGAUAAUCGAUGGGGAUGCGUUCCAUUAGUUUGUUGGCGGGUAACGGCCCACCAAGACAUCGAUGGAUAGGGGUUCUGAGAGGAAGGUCCCCACAUUGGAACUGAGACACGGUCCAAACUCC